Solanum pennellii is the source of this 1886-nucleotide long non-coding RNA. RefSeq lists it as uncharacterized. The record is from RefSeq and is a predicted model, not a curated record. NCBI's taxonomy places the organism in Eukaryota, Viridiplantae, Streptophyta, Magnoliopsida, Solanales, Solanaceae. The transcript is spliced from 3 exons.
AUGAGCAUAGGUAAAUACAUACCCGAAGAACUCAUCAGUGAAGUACUCUACCGCCUCCCUGUAAAGUCGAUUGGGCGGUCUAGAUGCCUAACAAAGCACUGGCUCAAUUUUCUCUUAGACCCACAAUUCAUCAAACUUCACUUCAACCUCCACAAGAAGAGAAACUCAUUAUCCUCACUUGGCAUAGAAGACUUCAUACUAUCAUGCUUAUCCACGAUAUCUUCGAAGAUGAAUUCAUCAAUAGCAUUUCAACAAAGUUAAUGGGGCUUUGCAUUGGUUGGCUUGUUGAACUUUUGAAUAUUCAACUGCAAUUGCGGCUUUUGAUUAAGUGUAGAUAAAUUCUUGGAGGUACCAGGACCUAUUGAUCUUCAGGAUAAUUGCUUUUUGUGUAAUCUUGUAACUCUUAAAGGCUGUCUCUGUAUAUCUACCUGUUUAUCCGAGAGAUAAACACAAUUACAUAUUGAUGAUGUUUUAUUGGAAGUAGAUGAAGAAUGAAUUUUCUACAAUCUGAGAGAGAAAGGAUCUGUUGUUUGAUGUAAAUCCUGUUACGUAUGAAGCUCGAACUUUUGUUGACAGCCUUGUCUCUCCUUACUUUGGCAACUGAGGUUCAUGUACUGUGUGAUGCACAAGAUGAUUAUGUAUACAGGAACUAUAACUAAAAGCAUAAAAAAUAAAGGUUAAACUGGGACUUGCUUUGUACUAUAUUAAGUUAUUUUCACUUGUCAUUGGAAGGAAGGCCCCUCAUUGUCACUCUAGCAACUGGUAUUUGUCUUAUAAUAGCAAUCUGUAGUUGAUCUUUGGUGCUUGUCUUGAAGAAAUAUGAAGGUAAAACUGUUGGGUAGAUUCUCUAAAAUACAGGGACAAAUUAUGUAGUUUACCUCCUUUAAUGUAUAAUUAUAUAUGUCAACAAAAACUCUUUAGAUCGAUAUUGGGUAGUAGUUAUUACUUAGGAAGGUAGUCAUAAAGAAAAAGUGGAAAACCUGUUUGUUAGCGGUUCUUGUGAUUUUAAACAUGAAAUGUGAAAAUUAUAAACUAAGUGUUGUAAGAAGACAUUCUUUUUUAAAUGGAACAAAAAAAGUAAGACAAAGUAAUCCAAAAAAUAAAGUACCAAAAAAAAGCUUAUUCCAUUCAAUGAUGAGAUACUGAAAGAUAAAAUUAAGAUCAAAACUUAAUCAUCGAUAUGACAUACUUACCUCUAUAAAUACAAAAUUAAAUUAUUGAACUUUAAAUAAAGAAAGAAAAAGUUAUUCACUGGAUCAAGAUGACCCUUCGCCGGAAUUGGACGAAGUGCUUUCCCUAGCUCUUAAAGGAGUGAGUGCACUUCCAAUGGUUUGAUAUGGGAAUUCAAUACCACUCCAUAAGUUGGCUUGCUAGUUUUUCAACUUUUUUAUCCACAACCUCCAAGGACUCGCACAAGAUCUUAAGGGCAAAAAAUCUAUGUUUUUCAUUUGAAGGUUCUGUCCUUAAUGCUUGAAGUGCUUGCCCGUGUUUUCUUUCUCUUUCAAGUGAUCUCUCCAGCUUGUUCAGUUUUUUAUUGAUCUCAUCAAUAUUGGCAUUUUGAUGAGCUACAAUGAUGCGGUUAGGAUCAUCAGUUUCUGGUGGAGGAUUCUCUUUGACAAAUUUAUCCAUAAUUUACUCGACGGUAGGGUGUCCAAAUGCAUAUACUUUGUUGCUGGGAGAAAAAGCUACAACAGCAACAUUAGCACCGCACAAAGUCGAGAGCUCACUUGCCUUUAUAAAUAGGCCAGCACGUCUUUUUGAGAAUAUUACUUGUAAGAUGGUUUGAUUUUUCAUCUUCACAAUUUCAAUUUUUUGCGGCCAUUAGGUUUUCUCAUGUCUAAGAUUUUUAUUUGAGAAUGUAAAAAAAAUUGAUGUUGAGUCUUUGU